This is a small nuclear RNA of Ursus americanus (American black bear), 107 nucleotides long. The record is from Ensembl. NCBI's taxonomy places the organism in Eukaryota, Metazoa, Chordata, Mammalia, Carnivora, Ursidae.
GUGCUCACUUUGGCAGCACAUAUACUAAAAUUGGAACAACACAGAGAAGAUUAGCAUGGCCCUUGUACAGGGAUGAUAUACAAAUUCAUGAAGUAUUCCAUACUUUU